Molecule: ribosomal RNA, 777 nt
Filed under: uncultured Neocallimastigales
Lineage: Eukaryota; Fungi; Neocallimastigomycota; Neocallimastigomycetes; Neocallimastigales
Description: partial large subunit ribosomal RNA
Rfam family: Eukaryotic large subunit ribosomal RNA
Source: RNAcentral
AGAGAGAGACAUGCGCGCAUAUCAAUAAGCGGAGGAAAAGAAACUAACUAGGAUUCCCCUCAGUAACGGCGAGUGAAGCGGGAAGAGCUCAAAUUUGAAAUCUUCAAGGUUCUACCUUGACGAAUUGUAGUUUAAAGAAGUGUUUUCUGUUAGGAGUUUUGGUAAAAGUUCUUUGGAAUAGGACAUCAUAGAGGGUGAGAAUCCCGUAUUUGACCAUUAUUUCCAGCUUUGUGAUACACUUUCAAAGAGUCGGAUUGUUUGGGAAUGCAGUCCAAAAUGGGUGGUAAAUUUCAUCUAAAGCUAAAUAUUGGCGAGAGACCGAUAGCGAAUAAGUACCGUGAGGGAAAGAUGAAAAGAACUUUGAAAAGAGAGUUAAACAGUACGUGAAAUUGUCAAAAGGGAAGCGUUUGACACCAGUGUUGUUUUCUCGAAAAUCAAUUAAAAAAGGCAGGAUUUUGUGUUGUAUUGACUUUAUCAGCUUUCUGCACUCUUUUCUUGUACUUUUUUAAUGCACUUUUCGUUUAACAAGUCAACAUCAAUUUCUUUUGUUGUAAAAGGGUCAUUGGAAGGUGGCUUUCUUUUCGGAGAAAGUGUUUAUAGCCUUUGGCCUCUGCAAUCGGAGAGAUUGAGGUCUGCAGCGUAGAUCCUUCGGGGUUAGAUACAUUUGUGCUAAGUUAUAGCCUUUCAUAGACAACUUGUUGACUAUGAUCAGUCAUGUAGCUUACUCGCUUAUGCUAUUUUACCUACGCUUAGGAUGUUGAUGUGAUACUGCGAGCA